Molecule: ribosomal RNA, 492 nt
Filed under: uncultured bacterium
Lineage: Bacteria
Description: partial 16S ribosomal RNA
Rfam family: Bacterial small subunit ribosomal RNA
Source: RNAcentral
AGUGAACGCUGGCGGUAGGCCUAACACAUGCAAGUCGAACGGCAGCACAGUAAGAGCUUGCUCUUACGGGUGGCGAGUGGCGGACGGGUGAGGAAUACAUCGGAAUCUACUUUUUCGUGGGGGAUAACGUAGGGAAACUUACGCUAAUACCGCAUACGACCUACGGGUGAAAGCAGGGGAUCUUCGGACCUUGCGCGAUUGAAUGAGCCGAUGUCGGAUUAGCUAGUUGGCGGGGUAAAGGCCCACCAAGGCGACGAUCCGUAGCUGGUCCGAGAGGAUGAUCAGCCACACUGGAACUGAGACACGGUCCAGACUCCUACGGGAGGCAGCAGUGGGGAAUAUUGGACAAUGGGCGCAAGCCUGAUCCAGCCAUACCGCGUGGGUGAAGAAGGCCUUCGGGUUGUAAAGCCCUUUUGUUGGGAAAGAAAAGCAGCAGGUUAAUACCCCGCUGUUCUGACGGUACCCAAAGAAUAAGCACCGGCUAACUUCGUC